GUGUCAGCAGCCGCGGUAAUACGGGUGAGGCAAGCGUUGUUCGGAAUCAUUGGGCUUAAAGCGCGUGUAGGCGGCGGCGUAAGUACUUUGUGAAAUCCCUUCUCUCAAUGGAGGAAUUGCUUGGUAUACUGCGUUGCUUGAGGUAGGUAGGGGUGCUUGGAACUCUAGGUGGAGCGGUGAAAUGCGUAGAUAUCUAGAGGAACGCCAGUGGCGAAAGCGGAGCACUGGGCCUAUCCUGACGCUGAGACGCGAAAGCGUGGGUAGCAAACGGGAUUAGAAACCCGAGUAGUCC
This 292-nucleotide ribosomal RNA is filed under the name uncultured bacterium. RNAcentral describes it as "partial 16S ribosomal RNA". It matches the Rfam family "Bacterial small subunit ribosomal RNA", at positions 505 to 796 of the family's 1533-position model. The record is from RNAcentral.